This 269-nucleotide unclassified non-coding RNA is filed under the name Hevea brasiliensis (rubber tree). The record is from RNAcentral. Lineage: Eukaryota; Viridiplantae; Streptophyta; Magnoliopsida; Malpighiales; Euphorbiaceae.
GCUGAGCAAAUUCUUGAACCCUUGUGUGCUAUCAAUUACAUGCAAUACAUUUUUGAUGGAAAGACAGGAAUGAAUCUGUAGUUACAAUAUUUCCCUAGGUAGUACUCUUCUGUUUGUCUUUCAAUCAUUUGCUGCUGUUUGAACUGACCUAAUAUGUUUGAAUCGAAUUAUAAGAUCUGUUAUUUCUUUCAACUUUUUAAAACCACUAAUUAUGUACAAUUUUCAAAAGAAACCUAUAAAUUUCUCUCCUUUUAGGUAGUGGACUUGAG